RNAcentral lists this long non-coding RNA (1024 nucleotides) under Mytilus galloprovincialis (Mediterranean mussel). The record is from RNAcentral. Lineage: Eukaryota; Metazoa; Mollusca; Bivalvia; Mytilida; Mytilidae.
CAUAUAUAUUUAAAUAAUAUACACUUAUAAGGGUAUGGCAAACAGUGUGUACAGUUUAUUCGUGAACAAUAUAGCUGUUCUGUGACAUAAUAUACAGUAUUAUGAUGGACUUUGUAUGGAAUUUCAUGAGCUAUGUUGUACCAUAGAUGUACAGUGUAGCAGUGUGAUUAGAUGUAAAUGUAUGUAGAGGUCGUGUUGCACAGUGUAACAUAAAGUAUCGCAGUGUGGUUAGAAGUUUAAUGUUUCACGUGUCGUUAGUUUACGGAGAAAUAAUUGUAUGUACAGUACUAGUGUAUAGUUUGUAUAAGGUUAAGAUAAGUGAUUAUUUUAUAGCGGAAAUCUUCCUCUGAUACUAUCACUUUAUAGGCCGGUGCAGACAGGGUAACAUUCAAGUUUCAUUUAUAUUAUGUACAGUGAUACUUGUAUAUUUGUUUUUAAAACAAUACACGUCCGAGUAUGUCUGGCGAGACGUCUUGUCGCAUUGGAUCGGAUCUAGGUUUCAAGUUGACCCCUAUAUUAGGUUUAUUUGGAUGUUCCUAGCCGGCGGGUAGUUCCUGAGUUAUUCAUUUAUUCAGUUAUUGUGUUUACAUUCAUGUCAACCAUACAUAAGUUAUUGUUUGUAUAUGAUUCACACUAAUUUAGUCAAGUUGUACCUAAUAGUUCAUGUAUAUAUCCUGGUUUCGUUUUGGGGAAAAUUGUGGUCUUUGUUUUUUCAUAUGUUAUAUAGAUAUGAGAUAUGUAUAUGUAUAGACUUUCACGAGCUAUGUUGUACAGUGUACCAUAGAAAAUUAGUGUGAUUAGAAAUUGAUGUAUGUAGAUAUGAGAUAUGUAUAUGUUUUGACUUUCAUGAGCUUUGUUGCACAGUGUAACAUAAAGAAUCGCACAAUGUGAUUAGAAGUUGAUGUACGUAGAUAUGAUAUAUGUAUAUGUUUUGACUUUCAUGAGCUAUGUUGCACAGUGUAACAUAAAUAAUCACACAAUGUGAUUAGAAGUUGAUGUAUGUAGAUAUGAGAUAUGUAUAUGU